ACGGGACACGUGAAACCCUGUGGGAAGCAGGAGGGACCACCCUCCAAGGCUAAAUACUACCUAGUGACCGAUAGCGUAUAGUACCGCGAGGGAAAGGUGAAAAGAACCCCGGGAGGGGAGUGAAAUAGAACCUGAAACCCUGCACUUACAAGCUGUGGAAGCACAUUUCUUGUGUGACCGCGUACUUUUUGUAGAACGGGCCAACGUGUUACGU
This 214-nucleotide ribosomal RNA is filed under the name Clostridioides difficile. Its description in RNAcentral is "partial 23S ribosomal RNA". It matches the Rfam family "Bacterial large subunit ribosomal RNA", at positions 417 to 633 of the family's 2925-position model. Lineage: Bacteria; Bacillati; Bacillota; Clostridia; Peptostreptococcales; Peptostreptococcaceae. The record is from RNAcentral.